AGUGAACGCUGGCGGUAGGCCUAACACAUGCAAGUCGAACGGCAACACAGUAAGAGCUUGCUCUUACGGGUGGCGACUGGCGGGCGGGUGAGGAAUACAUCGGCAUCUACUUUUUCGUGGGGGAUAACGUAGGGAAACAUACGCUAAUACCGCAUACGACCUAAGGGUGAAAGCAGGGGAUCUUCGGACCUUGCGCGUUUGAUUGAGCCGAUGCCGGAUUAGCUAGUUGGCGGGGUAAAGGCCCACCAAGGCGACGAUCCGUAGCUGGUCGGAGAGGAUGAUCGGCCACACUGGAACUUAGACACGGUCCAGACGCCUACGAGAGGCAGCAGUGGGGAAUAUUGGGCAACGGGCGCAGGCCUUAUCCAGCCAUACCGCGUGGGUGAAGAAGGCCUUCGGGUUGUAAAGCCCUUUUUUUGGGAAAGAAAAGCAGCAGGUUAAGACCCCGCUGUUCUGACGGUACCCAAAGAAUAAGCACCGGCUAACUUCGUG
This 492-nucleotide ribosomal RNA is filed under the name uncultured bacterium. Its description in RNAcentral is "partial 16S ribosomal RNA". It matches the Rfam family "Bacterial small subunit ribosomal RNA", at positions 29 to 507 of the family's 1533-position model. The record is from RNAcentral.